This 406-nucleotide ribosomal RNA is filed under the name uncultured bacterium. RNAcentral's name for it is "partial 16S ribosomal RNA". It matches the Rfam family "Bacterial small subunit ribosomal RNA", at positions 29 to 526 of the family's 1533-position model. The record is from RNAcentral.
AUUGAACGCUGGCGGCAGGCCUAACACAUGCAAGUCGAGCGAGCGGCGGACGGGUGAGUAAUGUAUGGGGAUCUGCCCGAUAGAGGGGGAUAACUACUGGAAACGGUGGCUAAUACCGCAUACUAUCCGAUGAACCCAUAUGGGAUUAGCUAGUAGGUGGGGUAAGGGCUCACCUAGGCGACGAUCCCUAGCUGGUCUGAGAGGAUGAUCAGCCAGACUGGAACGGAGACACGGCCCAGACGCCGACGGGAGGGAGCAGUGGGGAAUGUUGGACAGUGGGCGCAAGCCUGAUGCAGCCAUGCCGCGUGUAUGAAGAAGGCCUUGGGGUUGUAAAGUACUUUCAGCGGGGAGGCGUUAACCGCAGAAGAAGCACCGGCUAACUCCGUGCCAGCAGCCGCGGUAAUAC